Molecule: ribosomal RNA, 495 nt
Filed under: uncultured bacterium
Lineage: Bacteria
Description: partial 16S ribosomal RNA
Rfam family: Bacterial small subunit ribosomal RNA
Source: RNAcentral
GACGAACGCUGGCGGCGUGCCUAAUACAUGCAAGUCGAACGCUUAAGGAGGGGUUUGCUUCUCUGUCAGAGUCGCGCGCGGGUGUGUAACCUAUAAAUAUCCUGCCUGGUAGCGGAGGACAACUAUUGGAAAGGGUAACUACUACCGCAUACCUGUAGAUGUAGCAUGGUAUCUAUUUGAAAUCUCCAUUUCAAUCAAUACUAGAUCGAACUACGUUGUAUUAGCUGGUUGGGGAGGUAACGGGUCACCAACGCGACGAUACAUAGCCGACCUGAGAGGGUGAGCGGCCACACUGGGACUGAGACACGGCCCAGACUCCUACGGGAGGCAGCAGUAGGGAAUCUUCGGCAAGAGACGGAAGUCUGACCGAGCAACGCCGCGGGAGUGAAGAAGGUUGUCGGAUCGUAAAGCUCUGUUGUAAGAGAAGAACGAGUGUGAGAGUGGAAAGUUCACACUGUGACGGUAUCUUAACAGAAAGGGACGGCUAACUACGUG